ACCUUGUGAAUUGCAGAAUCCCGUGAACCAUCGAGUCUUUGAACGCAAGUUGCGCCCGAAGCCAUUAGGCCAAGGGCACGUCUGCCUGGGUGUCA
This 95-nucleotide ribosomal RNA is filed under the name Glycyrrhiza uralensis (Chinese licorice). RNAcentral's name for it is "partial 5.8S ribosomal RNA". It matches the Rfam family "5.8S ribosomal RNA", at positions 62 to 154 of the family's 154-position model. From Rfam's summary of the family: 5.8S ribosomal RNA (5.8S rRNA) is a component of the large subunit of the eukaryotic ribosome. Lineage: Eukaryota; Viridiplantae; Streptophyta; Magnoliopsida; Fabales; Fabaceae. The record is from RNAcentral.